CCUACGGGUGGCAGCAGUGAGGAAUCUUGGUCAAUGGACGAGAGUCUGAACCAGCCAAGUCGCGUGAAGGAUGACUGCCCUAUGGAUUGUAAACUUCUUUUAUAUGGGAGUAAAAUAUGGAAUGCGUACCAUCUUGUAUGUACCAUAUGAAUAAGGAUCGGCCAACUACGUGCCAGCAGCCGCGGUAAUAGGGAGGCACCAAGCGUUGUCCGGAGUUAUUGGGUGUAAAGGGCGCGUAGGUUGAUUGGUAAGUCAGUUGUGAAAGUUUGCGGCUCAACCGUAAAAUUGCAGUUGAAACUGGCAGUCUUGAGUAUCGUAGAGGUGGGCGGAAUUCGUGGUGUAGCGGUGAAAUGCGUAGAUAGCACGAAGAACUCCGAUGGCGAAGGCAGCUCACUGGACGGCAACUGACACUGAGGCGCGAAAGUGUGGGUAUCAAACAGGAUUAGAUACCCGAGUAGUC
RNAcentral lists this ribosomal RNA (460 nucleotides) under uncultured bacterium. RNAcentral describes it as "partial 16S ribosomal RNA". It matches the Rfam family "Bacterial small subunit ribosomal RNA", at positions 338 to 795 of the family's 1533-position model. The record is from RNAcentral.